Molecule: long non-coding RNA, 612 nt
Organism: Oryzias latipes (Japanese medaka)
Lineage: Eukaryota; Metazoa; Chordata; Actinopteri; Beloniformes; Adrianichthyidae
Source: RefSeq, a predicted model, not a curated record
UGAGAGUCGGAGCCACCAGAACUUUCUUUUUCAUUGAUUUCGGUCCCGACAAAACCAGACUGCUGGGAGGAGCUGCAGACAGAUUAUGUGUACUGUGAUCAGUUCUUUGAGGAAAGCAUGAAUGUUAUAAACCAAGGAUCCAUCAAACCUUCAGGAGCAGAUCUUCUAUCUGACGUCUCGCUGUUGAUUCCCUCCAAAUGUUCGUCCACCAUUGACCUGCGAUCAGGAACAAACACAACUGAAUAGAAUCAAGAACUUGGAGGAAUUAAGUCUUUACAGGAAACUGAAAAACGUCCUCAUUGAACUGCCAAGAUCCCUUCACGACAAACGAUUCCACAACCGAAAACACGCAGAUGACACCCCCGGCUGAAAAUAUGAAGCUUGUGUAGCUGGAAUUAGCUUUGAAUGGCUGACUUGGCAAACACAGCUUGGGUGGAGACAACGAUGUGAAUUCGAGAUAGUUUUACGCUGAUGUGGACCUGCGACACAACCUCAUCCUGAAUAUCCAACUGGAUUGAAUUGUCUUGAUCUUAGACAACCCCAAAACUAAUAAGUAGCUUGAUGAUUGUGAGGUUAAAGCCACUUUAGAUUGAAAUAAAUAAAUAAAAACAG